AUGGGUGAUGUUGAGAAGAGCAAGAAGAUUUUUGUUCAGAAGUGUUCCUAGGGCCAUAUUGUGGAGAAGGGAGGCAAGCGCAAGACUGGGGCAAAUCUCCAUGGGUUUAUUUGGGCGAAAGACAGGUCAGGCCCCUGGAUUUUCUUACACAGAUGCCAACAAGAACAAAGGCAUCACCUAGGGAGAGUAGAUACUGAUGAGUAUUUGGAGAAUCCCAAGAAGUACAUCCCUGGAGCAAAAAUGGUCUCCACUGGCAUUUAGAAGACAGGGGAAAGAGGAGACUUGAUAACUUAUCUCAAAAAAGCGACUAAGGAGUAAUAGUUGGCCAUUGCCUUAUUUAUUACAAAACAAAAAUGUCUCAUGACUUUUUUUUUUAUGUGUACCACAUUUAAAUUGAUCUCAUAUACCAGAAUUCGGAUCAUGAAUGGCUGAUCGAAUAUUUCUUUUGGACAGUCCUGAUUUAAAUAAAAUUGGCUUGUGGUUAAAUGAAUAUGAUCAGCUUUUUGAACUUUGAUAGUAAGUCUGGUUCAGCAAGUGCUGCCACUGUUUUCCCCUCCUAAAAAUAUGAUUGGAAUUGACUAGUAAUGUUCAGCUUUUCACGGAGAUGGUAACUGCCAUCUCUAAACUUAGAGGAGAUUGGUUUUGUAUUUAGAUUUAUAUAACUAGUUAUAUUGAUAUAUUUAAAUACUGAGGAAAUCCCUUCACUGUCUCAGAACAGCAAGACUCAGCUGUGUUUCAAGUUGUGUUCAUUAGCCUGUUAAAGGCAAGGGUUGAAGAUAAGCUCGCAGUGUCCACUUUAUCUUUUUGGUCUUAACUAUGCCAAUUUAAUUAAAAUUCCCUGCGUCUAAAAUGUUGCCUUUUGCUUAAUGAAAGGCAUUUUAGUGUGGUUAUGUAUAAUGUUAAAUAAAGAAUACUUA
This is an RNA transcript of Neomonachus schauinslandi (Hawaiian monk seal), 917 nucleotides long. It is a transcript of the gene named cytochrome c-like, with no coding region annotated. NCBI's taxonomy places the organism in Eukaryota, Metazoa, Chordata, Mammalia, Carnivora, Phocidae. The record is from RefSeq and is a predicted model, not a curated record. The transcript has a single exon.